AGUAAACUUCUCACUUCUUUCCAGUUGCAGAUCUCCUGGCUUCCUUCUUCCUCCCUAGUUCCAUAUAUGUAGUCAUUUGCAUUGAGUGCGCAUGAUGCUAAGAGCUCAUGUCAUCAGCACAACUGUUUAGGGUUGCACUUCAAUCAUUCUGCUCCUUGUCAACAUCAUUUUUUAUCAAAAUCAAAAGUACUAACAGAAAGUGGUUUCCCACACAUACUCUUUCAAGUAAACAAAAGACAACUUAAACUUUCUAUUUAUUCUUUCUUCCUGGAGUUAAGCCUUAAGUUCAAGCAGGUGGCAUUUUUUUAUAUUUGGAGAGAAUCAACCUUUGCAAGCAAUGGUUCCAGACAGGCAGGGAGGGGAUAAGGGCAUUAAAAAGGAAGAGCUGAUUUUCAUCCUUGGCUGUAAUAGUAUAAGGCUAUCAUUUAUUCUCACUGUGUAUCAGUUUUCAGAACUAAAAAUUUCAGUAAGAAGCUGUGGUCAGCUCAUUAAUUCCUUCAGUCAUAACCUCUUUCUUCCUCACUCUUUCUUAUAAAUGAUUUGGGUUAAAAGAGAUAAGGCAGAACCUUUCUGCUUUGCACUUUUAGGACAAGAGAAGGCUUCAACCAGUGUCCAUGGGACCCAUUUGUGGUUGGUUAGUGUGCUCAAGCGUGCCCGUCUCCUGCUGUGAUAAACACACUGGUCAUUUACAUGCAAGCACCAGUCUGGUUCUCAUUUAAAGUCCUUUGAAAAUGUUUCUAAGUUGCAUUUGCUGUAAAACUGAAACGCUCUUCUGUCACUGCCCCUUCUGCCUCUAGCUGGCUGGUAGACUACUGAUUACUUGUCUUUACCCAUGACAUGAACUAUGCCAGCAAUAACAUAAAUACAUAAUACUUAAAUCUUGUUUGCAUUAAGCUAACAGCAAGGUGUUGACAACAUUAAGGAGGGAGAGAAACAGAGAAAGAAAACUUAAAAAAUAAAAUCUCCCAACAGAAUGUAAUUAGCCUGCUGCUCACCUUCUCCUGUAUGGACUGUCAGAAGAAAACUUCUGUGUAAUUAUGGCAUGAUGAAAUAACUCUUUUUUCCUUCUUCCUUGGCAUAAAUGAAGAUCCUAGUAAUACUCAACUGUUGAGUGGAUUUAAAAAAAACUCCAACAAAACCUGGCCUGCAGAUCACUGAAAACUGGCAGAGUAUUCUAAGAAAAUACCACGGGAGCAGUUCCUGGCAUUGAUGUCCACGGUCAUGGGAGGCAGGAUUCAAACCAGGGGCUUUUCUAAUCAGCUUCCCCUGGACUUGAUGUUCUCUAAAUCCAAAGUGCAGGCUAAUUUACCCUUUGGAGUAAUCAAUGGAGUGACUCCUGCUAACUAAGCAAGUGAAGAGCUGGGGCCAGCAGCUGUCUGGGAAUGAGGCAGGAGGAUGCUGUAACCUCUGGUCAGUUGAAUGCAACACCAGAAAAGAUAAAAAGAAAGGAAGCUUCACAUAGCAUGCCCAAAUUCUUGUGGUUGUGAAAUGAUGAUCAGCUCCCAUCCAUACUCUCCAUGUUCCUUCUGCUUCCAAGCUCUUUUUUUCUCAUCCACAGGAUUCUCUAUACAUUUGUGGAAGGAUAGAAAAGAGCCUACAUUCAAAACACCCCAAUUUGAUCAACCUUGGCAAGAAGAAGCAAAAACUUACAAAAACUUACUUGAUUUUCUUUGAAGAACAGAUGGGAACCAUCAGCACAUACAGUAUCCAUGCAUCAUCACCUGCAAUGC
Molecule: long non-coding RNA, 1730 nt
Organism: Pezoporus flaviventris
Lineage: Eukaryota; Metazoa; Chordata; Aves; Psittaciformes; Psittacidae
Exons: 5
Source: RefSeq, a predicted model, not a curated record